AAUAAUUAUUUUAUUAACGGAAACAUAACUUGUUUCCUUCUAGAAAUAGAGAAAUUAAAUUGUAAUUUUUAUCACUAAAUGAUAAAUUAUACAAAAUAAAUUCCCAUCUUAAGGGGAUACCAAAGAUUCUGAUAAGGUUGGCAAAACCACCUCACCAUCUUAUGACUUGUACAUACAGUUACACACUGGGAAAAAUUACAAUGUUACAUGAGCAAUUUCCGGCACGGAAUACCGGAAAAUACGUCGAAAUGCUCAUAUUAUAAUAAGUUUCUAAUUUAAUCUUAUUGUACAUUGAGCAAUUAGUCAAUCUAAUAGAAUCCUAAAUAUGGAACAACCCCAUAUUAAUUACACUGGCGAUGCAGAAAGUAGAAAAUCUGGCUGUAAUCUCUGAAGCAGUAUCCCACAAAAGGGACACAAGGGUUUUGACAAUUCUUCUACUACACAAGCUUCUGUUAAAGGUUUGAAAUCUACAGGAUAUCCAGGCUUUGUAAAUAGAGUCUCUGGUGCCAAUUUGGAAGCCCAUCUGUUACAACACUUGCAAUGCCAUAACGGUGUCGCUGGGCAAACCUGCAUGGAAACAGCACACCUAACCAAUUUGUGGUUCUGCAUAUCUCUGUUGCUACUCUCUAAACCUUGGCAAAAUGCAAUCUCUGGAGAAUUAAAAGGAACAGAUGCUGAGCAAUAGCUACAUCGUUCCUCUACCUCAAAUUUGUUGGAUGAAAGCCUGCUCUUAUGUUUUUGAACUUCUGAUGUGAGGACAUUUAGUUGAUCAUUGACAUGAUCGCGAUUAAGUUCAACCCACUGCUCCAUUUGUGCAAUUCCAACAGGAUGCCAGCAUCCAGUCUCAAUAAAAUUUUUGGCUAAAAAAGAAGAAAAACUAAAAACCAAAAGCCUUUCACGGAGUUCUUUUUCACUCCUGAAAAGUAGCUUUAUCCACAAAGUUUGUUGCUCCCCUGCAGCACUAGUUUGUUCUUCAAAGUUCAAUUUACUGUUAAUUUCAUCAGCCUUCAACAUAGAUAGGACCAGGCAUCGACAAAUGAUAUUUAGAAUGUGCAACUGGCGAGAAGUAAUUUUUGAUAGAUUAUCAGAUAUGUGUGUCAAAACCUCAUUAAUGGAAAGGUCCAUAUGGGAACCUAAAUAUGACAUAGAGAGCCAACUAGCUAGUAUACGGUCCACAUAUUCUGGCAUAAACUGCUUGAAAGCCAAUAAUGAUGCUAUGAUAUCCCAAAUAACUAGAGGUUUAUCUGGACUUUCAAAGUUUUUCAAAGACCAGAGAAUAUUGGACUCCCAGUAUAACAAUUCACUUUGGGAAAAAUCGUGAAAAGAUUCUUUAACAAAGUCUUGAGAAGUGUUGAACAACAUAUUCAAAUUUUGUCCACCAAUCCAGAAGAAUUCAACAAUAGCCUUUUGUGCCCUUUACAUGAAACACCUUACGGCAGCCAUUACAAGGUGAUAUGUUGGCAUUUCAAUGUCAUUCUUGAAUCACAGACCUCAAUCAGUAUAUCAUGAAUCAGCCCCUAGAAAUCCCUGUUACAUAGCAGGCAAUAUGUUAUGUAACCAGAGUUUUUUUUAAUAACAUGAUGCCAAUUGCCAAUGUAACCUUGUUGAAAGACCUCAAAUAAUUUGAAGUCAAUAAAAUUCAAAUAAAAAUCAUCAAAGCUUCACUUGGCCUUUUCCAGUGGUUCAUAGUUCUAAGUAUAAGUUCAUAGAAGCAUUGACAUUUUGGUAUUGAACUUCCAUGCUGGCACCUCUCCUAUGGUUUAGGAAAUUGUAACUGAUUUGGCAUAUGGUGGAGAGGUAGAACUAAUUAGCUCAAAUUAUAUAGACUAGGCUCAAUCAGCCUCCCAAACUGCCUAAAAGAAAAAUAAUAAUAAUAAAGCAUUAGUAUUAAGAAUUUUACGAAAAAUUUUCAGUAAAAUUAUGCAAUAGAUGCAAGCCCAUUUACGUGAAACCACAGCCACAACAGAAACUAGGCAAAAUCUAGGUAGUAAUGAACAGAAAUAUGUUUGUAUUUUUUUUUUUUUCUGGAUUUUGAAAUGUUUGGCUUCUAUGUUUGUUCUUAGGCUCCUUGUUGUUAGGCCUAAGGCUUUGUCCAACUGACCUUAGUUGCACUGUGUUCUUUUACCUGCUUCUCUUUGCUGUUCUUCAUGUUCAUCCUAUUGUAAUUAUUCAACAAUUAUUGAAUUUGAUAAAGCAUUUUAAAUUUUAAGACAACAAUUAACUCACCUUCCCUCAUACAUAUGAUCCAAUUGAUCAACAUCAAGAUUUCGGACCAUCGCAACUACAAGAUUUCCAGGAGAUACUGCUACACCUAGGCACGAAAAGAAUACAUCUGGAAGAUCAGUUGAACUCCUCAAACCAGGAGUACAUGAUGGAAUGGAUACUUCACAAAGAGAACUCCCAUGUAAUAGCCAGCUACGAACAUAAUUAUCCUGACCACAGCUGUACAAACAACACCCAUCAAAAGCCCAAGCUAAACCAGUAACAACAUAGUCGUGAGCAUCCUGUGAACAAGCUUUAUCAAACUUGCAACUAGAUAUGUCACAUGUCCAUACUUCAAACGAACCAGAUCCUUUGCCAACUGCUAAGAGAAUUUUGUAGGGUGCCUGAACAGGUAUUACUAGUGAAAGUACUGAAACUGGGACAAUAUUGCCAAAUAUAACCUCCUUCAGUAGAACAAAUGGAGCAUUAUUAGAUUCUGAUGAUUCCAGCAAUUUCUCACCGUUCCCCAGCCAGAUCUUCACACUAACUCACCUCCCAUCAGAACUCGCACUAGCCAAUAAAACCUGAUGAUUAGAAUUAGAACUAAGUAAUGCCAGAUUGACUGCAGUGACCCAUGAAUUAUGUGCCUGUAGAAGCCCGACAAGCAUAACACCAGGAGAGACUCUAUUGUGCUCAAUAGAGUAGCAUUGUGGUGCAUGAAUUCUCCAGAUUGAAAUUUUGCCAGCCUUCCCUCCAACUGCAAAUAUAGAGAAUCUAUGGGGUGAAUCAUUUUGAGGAGCUGUACAGAUUUUAGAUGUCAAGCACAACACUGGUGACCAGGCAACAACAAUUGAUGACAGCAUCUGACUGCGAGAAGCAUAUUGGUCUGCAGUUAACUUAGGCAACUGCUCUUCCCUCGUAUUAGUGUGAGGGCUAGAUCCAGCAUGGAGCUUCUCACCAUUACCUAUCAGUUGGCCUCCAAAAGUUUCAGACUCCUUAUCGAUGCCAUUAGUGGUACUGGCUCUUCUUCGCUUAUGCUCCUUUCCAGUAAUAGUGUUUGGAAAAACAUCAGCAAGAUUAUCACUGAGCCUUACUUGUGUUGUUUGCUCCUAAUGAAAGACAUAAAUGUUUCACGGUGUUAUGGCUUAAGGAUUAAGUUAAACAGAUUUAAAAUAAAGAACUUACAUGAACAAUCUCUGAAUCAAGGAUUUCUGACUGCCCAAAAUUUGUUUUUGCAAGAAAAUCAUAUAGCCUAUCUGAUAUAUCUAUAACCUCUAUCCAUUCAGCACAAAAAUCACAAAAAGGUGAUCGAUAAAGCUUUACACGUCCUUCUGUGGUACAAACUGCAAGCAAGCACCCAAAGUUAGGAGCCAUUCCAAGCGGAGACCAAGAAAUUGAUCGUACACAUGGUCGACGAUCCCGAGAUAAAGCAUUGGGCAGCAAACAUCCAGCGAGCAAAUCUUCUUUUUUGACCAGCCCAAUUGGAUAAGGUUCACAGGUAGGAAUGGUGAUUAAGCCUCGAGGUCCAAGUGUCAAUGCUGGAUUCAGAAUGGUGACAAGGUGACCGCAAGCGACGGCAAUAAGAUUCUCGUCAGACCAAGCUAUGGCGUUUGGGUACAAUGGUGAAGCCACCAGUUGAGCAGCUUGGAAUCGUGAAGGCAUGAUCACUGAAACAUAAUAGAAAAUUUAAAACUUGAAGGAAAUUGGAAAUCUGGGAAUUUGGGAGGAAAGUGAAUUCAGUUACCACAACGAGGAGAGAAGUAAGAGAACGAUAUGGAAGAGAGACGAUCUUGGUGAAGAACUGACUUG
This 4011-nucleotide unclassified non-coding RNA is filed under the name Hevea brasiliensis (rubber tree). The record is from RNAcentral. Lineage: Eukaryota; Viridiplantae; Streptophyta; Magnoliopsida; Malpighiales; Euphorbiaceae.